GGGGACGUAGCUCAGCUGGGAGAGCGCCGGCUUUGCAAGCCGGAAGUCGUGGGUUCGAAUCCCAUCGUCUCCA
RNAcentral lists this transfer RNA (73 nucleotides) under Phycisphaerales bacterium. RNAcentral's name for it is "tRNA-Ala". It matches the Rfam family "tRNA". Rfam says of the family: Transfer RNA (tRNA) molecules are approximately 80 nucleotides in length. Their secondary structure includes four short double-helical elements and three loops (D, anti-codon, and T loops). Lineage: Bacteria; Pseudomonadati; Planctomycetota; Phycisphaerae; Phycisphaerales. The record is from RNAcentral. RNAcentral also lists the same sequence under 1 other name.